ACUGGGACUGAGAACGGCCCAGACUCCUACGGGAGGCAGCAGUAGGGAAUUUUCCACAAUGGACGAAAGUCUGAUGGAGCAACGCCGCGUGCAGGAUGAAUGCCUUCGGGUUGUAAACUGCUUUUAUCUGUGACGAAUAUGACGGUAGCAGAUGAAUAAGGAUCGGCUAACUCCGUGCCAGCAGCCGCGGUCAUACGGAGGAUCCAAGCGUUAUCCGGAAUUACUGGGCGUAAAGAGUUGCGUAGGUGGCAGAGUAUGUCUGUAGUGAAAGCGUGUGGCUCAACCAUAUACACAUUACAGAAACUGCUCAGCUAGAGGGCGAGAGAGGUUACUAGAAUUCCUUGUGUAGGAGUGAAAUCCGUAGAUAUAAGGAGGAAUACCGAUGGCGUAGGCAGGUAACUGGCUCGUCCCUGACACUAAGGCACGAAAGCGUGGGGAGCAAACGGGAUUAGAUACCCCGGUAGUCCACGCCGUAAACGAUGGAUGCUAGCUGUAAGAGGUAUCGACCCCUCUUGUAGCGAAGCUAACGCGUUAAGCAUCCCGCCUGUGGAGUACGGUCGCAAGACUAAAACAUAAAGGAAUUGACGGGGACCCGCACAAGCGGUGGAGCGUGUUGUUUAAUUCGAUGGUAAACGAAGAACCUUACCCAGGUUUGACAUCCUUGGAAUUUUGCCGAAAGGCGAGAGUGCUUUAUUGAGCCAAGUGACAGGUGUUGCAUGGCCGUCGUCAGCUCGUGUCGUGAGAUGUUUGGUUAAGUCCAUCAACGAGCGCAACCCUUAUAGUCUGUUGUAUUUUUCAGGCUAGACUGCCCCGGUAACGGGGA
This 823-nucleotide ribosomal RNA is filed under the name uncultured Candidatus Saccharibacteria bacterium. Its description in RNAcentral is "bacterial SSU rRNA". It matches the Rfam family "Bacterial small subunit ribosomal RNA", at positions 312 to 1167 of the family's 1533-position model. The record is from RNAcentral. Lineage: Bacteria; Candidatus Saccharimonadota.